This 445-nucleotide ribosomal RNA is filed under the name Theileria sp. RNAcentral's name for it is "SSU rRNA". It matches the Rfam family "Eukaryotic small subunit ribosomal RNA", at positions 501 to 984 of the family's 1831-position model. The record is from RNAcentral. Lineage: Eukaryota; Apicomplexa; Aconoidasida; Piroplasmida; Theileriidae.
UCUUGUAAUUGGAAUGAUGGGAAUUUAAACCUCUUCCAGAGUAUCAAUUGGAGGGCAAGUCUGGUGCCAGCAGCCGCGGUAAUUCCAGCUCCAAUAGCGUAUAUUAAAAUUGUUGCAGUUAAAAAGCUCGUAGUUGAAUUUCUGCUGCAUUUCAUUUCUCUUUCUGAGUUUGUUUUUGCGGCUUAUUUCGGUUUGAUUUUUUCUUUCCGGAUGAUUACUUUGAGAAAAUUAGAGUGCUCAAAGCAGGCUUUUGCCUUGAAUAGUUUAGCAUGGAAUAAUAAAGUAGGACUUUGGUUCUAUUUUGUUGGUUUUAGGUACCAAAGUAAUGGUUAAUAGGAACAGUUGGGGGCAUUCGUAUUUAACUGUCAGAGGUGAAAUUCUUAGAUUUGUUAAAGACGAACUACUGCGAAAGCAUUUGCCAAGGAUGUUUUCAUUAAUCAAGAAC